GACGAACGCUGGCGGCGUGCUUAACACAUGCAAGUCGAACGGAAAGGCCCUGCUUUUGUGGGGUGCUCGAGUGGCGAACGGGUGAGUAACACGUGAGUAACCUGCCCUUGACUUUGUGAUAACUUCAGGAAACUGGGGCUCAUACCCGAUAGGAGCUCCUGCUGCAUGGUGGGGGUUGGAAAGUUUCGGCGGUUGGGGAUCGACUCGCGGCUUAUCAGCUUGUUGGUGGGGUAGUGGCUUACCAAGGCUUUGACGGGUAGCCGGCCUGAGAGGGUGACCGGCCACAUUGGGACUACGAGACGGACCAGACUGCUACGGGAGGCAGCAGUGGAGAGUAUUGCGCAAUGGGGGGAAGCGUGAUGCAGCAACGCCGGGUGCGGGAUGACGGCCUUCGGGUUGUAAACCGCUUUCGCCUGUGACGAAGCGUGAGUGACGGUAAUGGGUAAAGAAGCACCGGCUAACUACGUG
RNAcentral lists this ribosomal RNA (468 nucleotides) under uncultured bacterium. RNAcentral's name for it is "partial 16S ribosomal RNA". It matches the Rfam family "Bacterial small subunit ribosomal RNA", at positions 28 to 507 of the family's 1533-position model. The record is from RNAcentral.